RNAcentral lists this ribosomal RNA (497 nucleotides) under uncultured bacterium. Its description in RNAcentral is "partial 16S ribosomal RNA". It matches the Rfam family "Bacterial small subunit ribosomal RNA", at positions 28 to 507 of the family's 1533-position model. The record is from RNAcentral.
GAUGAACGCUGGCGGCGUGCCUAAUACAUGCAAGUCGAGCGAACAGAUGAGGAGCUUGCUCCUCUGACGUUAGCGGCGGACGGGUGAGUAACACGUGGAUAACCUACCUAUAAGACUGGGAUAACUUCGGGAAACCAGAGCUAAUACCGGAUAAUAUAUUGAACCGCAUGGUUCAAUAGUGAAAGACGGUUUUGCUGUCACUUAUAGAUGGAUCCGCGCCGCAUUAGCUAGUUGGUAAGGUAACGGCUUACCAAGGCAACGAUGCGUAGCCGACCUGAGAGGGUGAUCGGCCACACUGGAACUGAGACACGGUCCAGACUCCUACGGGAGGCAGCAGUAGGGAAUCUUCCGCAAUGGGCGAAAGCCUGACGGAGCAACGCCGCGUGAGUGAUGAAGGUCUUCGGAUCGUAAAACUCUGUUAUUAGGGAAGAACAAAUGUGUAAGUAACUAUGCACGUCUUGACGGUACCUAAUCAGAAAGCCACGGCUAACUACGUG